RNAcentral lists this long non-coding RNA (4642 nucleotides) under Solanum tuberosum (potato). Its description in RNAcentral is "long non-coding RNA (STUB_LNC009002)". The record is from RNAcentral. Lineage: Eukaryota; Viridiplantae; Streptophyta; Magnoliopsida; Solanales; Solanaceae.
UCUCAUAGAAAUUCUUCAAAUUUUCAAUCUCAAAUUUGUUAAAUCGCUACUCAUAUCACCAACCCUAAUCAAGUAUGGGCUCAAUUUCCUUUUAGAUUGUAUUUUUUUGUCAGAUUUUACCUCUUUUUCUUUCACCCAUUCAUAAAUAUGUAGAAGUUAGAAGCGGUUUGAAGGUUUAAGGCAAAAGAUUCUCGAAAAUCUAUAGAUAUCAGAAGUUGUUUGAAGGUUUUAAGAAGAAAGGUUGGAAGUUUGAUAAUCACUGCGAGCUUUUGAUGUUUUCGAUGUUUUGAAGUUGUUCAAAGGCUUGUAAGGUACCACACAUGUUUUAUCCUAUGCUUGUUUUCCGUAUUUUAUCGAUUCUCGAUUUCCACUGUGUGCUCAUAUUAAUGUAGAGAAAAAUACUUUUUUAUGUUAGAUUUACUUGAAUUUUUUGUAUUGAAAAUGUAUUCUAUUGAAUUUGAAGUAUUUAGUUAUAAGAAAUUUAUUGAAAAAAUUAAUUUUUUGAACAUGUACAUUUGUUCUUCUAAUAUGGACAUGAUUGUCAAUUGUUGUAUCACCAUGUACUAUAGAAGUUCUGCUCAUAUUUUUCAAGAAGAAGAAGAAUAUCCUACUCUUUUUCUCUAUCCAUCUUGUUGAUUGACACCAAAUAGUACUUGUAGUAUGCGAAAAAUUUCUCGGAGAUAGGAAAUGUACCAAUUAACAUUAACAUGACACUAGUAUCCAAAGGCUAGAACAUCACUAUGUAUGUACUUGAGAAGUCACAUUAACAACUUAUCUAAUGCUAAAGUGUGAGAAGAAACAAUGGAAGAAUACAAUUGGGAAAUGUAGAGAACUCUACAAAUUUGUUCCCCAAAUGUUAUUUCACAUUGUUGCAUUAAUAAUUGAUUUUCCAGCCUCUUUCUUCAUUUUCAUUGAUUUUUCACUCUCUUGAAACUACACGAACACUUGUUGCAUAUAGUAGAUCAUGAAAGGUGUUGGAUAAGAGCAGGAAGAAUAGGGAGAACAAGUAUUUUUUUUCUUUUUUUUGACUAAGAUCUUCUGAUAAGAUAGAAGCUGAGGAAAACGAGUACCAUAUCGAAGAAAAACUAAUGCAAUAUAGAAGGGCCAGUAUUGGUUACAAGAGACGGUUAGUAAAACGCAAACAAUACUAUAAAAAAUUUCUCAGUACAAGCAACCAUCUGAAAAGAAGAGGUUUGUUUUCUCCAGUAUGCUGAUUGCAGCUCCAAACAAAGGACUUUGGCAGAUUAGAGGGAGACUAGGUUGUUUACAUACGGAAAGCAUCGAUAAUGAAUGCAAGCUUCACUGCUCAGCAAUUUUGUUGCACAGGAAUUGAAAUCGUAUGGAACGUUCUUUAUGCACAAUCCGCCUCCAUUAUAUCACUCUCAACAUGUAAAAUUGAUUAGCUCCUUCCUACAUCCCCGACAAUUUUACUCUCUGUUUCUCUGACCACAUUCUGAUUUGGCUUUUCAUUUGCAUUGUAUUUGAGUGGGCAUUAACCAAAAUGUUUAACCUUAUUAUAUUACCAGUUACAUCAACCUUACAAAGCUUUCCACUAAAAGCCCCCAAGAAGCCAUGAGUGUCGUUGCCUUGAAGGAGCGGUGACCUCUCCUUUGGUUAGAUCAAAAUCAAGAAUAUUACCAGUUGUCAUCCAGUAAAUAAUGCCAUUCACAUGGACCCCUGAUUUUGGCAAUACUUUCUAGCUCCAAUAUAAUUUUGUACUCUGCUAUAAAGUUGAGCAACGGUGGUUCAAAUAAGAGCACAAUUGUUGGAUUUGAUCCAUGAUUAGCAUUUGAUUUUUGUUCUUAGAUUACAUGAACUGACAUUCAUUCUCUGUACUAACUCUAACUUGUUAGUAUUGUGGUUCUUAGAAUAGAAACUAAUUCAUGACACCUAUAGCUUUAACUUUAUAAUUUGACUCAGUGUUUUAAGUGGAAUCAGUGGUUUACAUUUCUAUCAAUGAAACAACAGUUCAGUAAAAUGUCCCACCAUUUUUAUUUGAUUGAUAUAAUACUUUGCUUUAUGACUUGAUAUUUUCUUUGGCAGGUAGAUAUAAUCAUUUUUAAUUUCUGAUUCUGAUACUUCUCCUAUUUUAUCUAAUGUUGCAGAAAAUGAAAGGAACUGGCAGAGGACGAGGACAAGGUAAAAGUGGAAGAGAUGGUGUAGGAAGUGGAUGUGGUAAUUUUUUAGAACACAAAAGUUUAUGAACUACGUCUCAACCACAAAUAUAACCAAUAAGAGUUGUUGAAAUAUCAUUAGAGACUGGACAAUAACCUAACCCAAUUCAAGGACGUCUAUAGGCAGAACAAAUAUCAAGUGCCCCUCUCCAAAGAACAUCUCCCCAGAUAUGAUCAUCAAGAAAUCUAGAAGAAAGUAUGCAACCCUCCCUAGAGGUUGAAACUGGUAUAGGUUAGUUCACGUCCCUCCCUUGUAGGAAACGAUUGAUUAAUGCUUUGCUGGUUUAUUCAUCUUGACAUUUUGGAAUAUUAGAAAGAUUUUGCACCCUCUAUUUAUUGAAACUUUUUGCAUUUGUUAGAGGAAAUCUGUUGGGUUUUUCUUUGAUAGCUGUUAUCAUCAUUAUAAUUUGAUCAACAAGAAUUGCUUUUGAUAGCAACAACUAUGAUAGCAGUGAAAACUUUGUUUGCUGCCAUCACUGCCUUGUUCACUUGAUCAUCUACCCUAUGUAUGAUAAUUGCAUUCUAUGCUUCCUUUCUACCAACCUGCAUAAAAAAAGCCAGAUCAUGACAAGUUAAUGUUUGAGCAGUUGCAUAUGUUUCAAUAUAAGUAGAUAUACUUAAUUGCAAGGUGCAGUCUGAGGGUAUUAAAUGAGAAAUCAACGACUAUAUGAAUUAUAUGAAUCUUCACUGAACAUGUUGGACUAAAAAUAAAUUUUACCUGAACGGCUCGAAGAACUACAUUAGUAAGUGGGGGAAAUGGAGUAUUGAGAUUGCCAGAGGCCCCAUUUACCGCACCUUAUGUCACCAUUUCUAAAUUUAUAAAUUUCGUAACCUUUUUAUUACCUUUAUGCCAUGACCUUCCAUAGCAGUGCUUGUUGGCAAAGUGAUAGCAAACAUAGAGGCUAGUGUGUCUUCAACAACGAAAAGUAUGCGUCAAUAGGUGCAAGUUGAUAUGAACCGAAAGUUGCAAGAAGAACGUGAACAAAUGACUGCCGAUUUAAAAAGGAAUAUGGAAGAAGAUUUGCAAAAACAAUUGGAAGGGAACAUGAACACAUGAAAGGUGAAGUAGACAAGAUGUUCCAAGAACAAAUGGCCGCUGUCAUGACUAGAAUUCAACAGGUACUUUAUCUUUUUCCUUCCUAACAAUUCUAUUCAGUUCUUUGAAAGUUUAGAGUUGUUGGUGCAUCAGUUGAUAUUGGUGGUGCCAUAAUUACGUAGUGUCAUUUGUGUUAUUGAGCCAGUCCAUUUGAGAAUUGAUGUAGAUUUGGAUUAAUUUCAAUGUCUUCUCUGGAAUUGAGUUGUUAUGUGAUGAUUGCUUUGCCGCAUAAAGAUCAAAACUAAUUUCAUUAGCAUUAGGAUAUAUAUUGUGGGGAGCAACUUGUUUUAUUCUUUUGUCAAGCUGCUGAGUUGCAUAAGCUCGAAAAAUAAAAUGGAAAUUGGGUGUUGCAAGGAUGUAGUGAAAAUUAUAGCAAAACAUAAGGAUACUUUUGGUUAAAAAACUCUUAGAUCCUUCCCAAUUCUCUGUUAUGUUGUGAGGAUCAGAGAAAAUUGCUUCUUCCUAAGCAUGUAAUGCAAUGUAAGCAUUCUUAGCCUAAAAUUCUCAAAAGAAAGUGAUGGAUUGAUGGCAAUAAUAUAUCACCACCAACAAACACAAAAGACUAAUUACAUGUAGAAGCAAACAAAAUCCCCUGAAGCUGGCAAUCUCAUUGUACAACUUUUGUAUCAAAUGCCUAUAGCUACGAGUUCCCUUUGUACAUUUCAAUUGAUUCAAUCUUUUUGGAGAUGAAUUAUGCAAAUAGGACACAAAUAUUUUUUCCAUACGUUUUAUGAGAAGGUCCCUAAAGAGAAUAGAUGCUAUAUUGUCACUGAUUCCAGUGCAUGAGGGAGGCAACAAUGACAUUUAAUUUCUAUACCACAUCCAAAUCGUCCAAAUUUGUUUGUCUUUGCAUCUAUGGGUAAUUUAUUAUAAUAUAGAGCCCUUCAAGUGAUGACUACUUGCUUGUUAGGGACCAUUUUAGCCAAACUUUUAGGUUUUUUCAGUUGCAUCCUUCUUAACUCUUAUUUGGUCCCAUAUUGAUGCUAUUGAGGAAGUACCAUUGUUAACGUUUUACUAAGUUUUCUUCAAUAGCCCCCGGAAAAGUGUACUCUAAUGUGCUCUAUAUCACCCCUUUUAUUAUGAGAAUUAGAGAUUGAUUGUGUGUUUUUCUAAUUACAGGGACAAGUUUAUUAAACAAGGGGCCAAUCAAGAAGAAGGUUGAAGGCGUACACUGGAAGUUUUUGCUUUUUGACCAUAAAUAUAUAUACAAUGGAAGUAUUUUUGGUUUUGGUUAUAUAUAUAUAUAUAUAACAACUGAAGUACUACUAUGCAGUUGAAUUUUUGGUAUUUAUAAUAUUUGACUUAAGAAUGCUUUUGUAUUAAUUUUGUGAAAUACUUUUAGAUGUUUUUAAUAGCUAUAUAUUAAUUUUAG